RNAcentral lists this transfer RNA (71 nucleotides) under Passer montanus saturatus. RNAcentral's name for it is "tRNA-Asp". Lineage: Eukaryota; Metazoa; Chordata; Aves; Passeriformes; Passeridae. The record is from RNAcentral.
GAGGUGUUAGUAAAACAAUUACAUAGCCUUGUCAAGGCUAAAUUGUAGGCGAAAACCCUACACACCUCUCC